GGGCCGGUAGCUUAGGGGUUAAAGCAGCGGACUCAUAAUCCGUUGAUCGUUGGUUCGAUUCCAACCCGGCCCA
This 73-nucleotide transfer RNA is filed under the name Betaproteobacteria bacterium. Its description in RNAcentral is "tRNA-Ile". It matches the Rfam family "tRNA". Rfam says of the family: Transfer RNA (tRNA) molecules are approximately 80 nucleotides in length. Their secondary structure includes four short double-helical elements and three loops (D, anti-codon, and T loops). Further hydrogen bonds mediate the characteristic L-shaped molecular structure. tRNAs have two regions of fundamental functional importance: the anti-codon, which is responsible for specific mRNA codon recognition, and the 3' end, to which the tRNAs corresponding amino acid is attached (by aminoacyl-tRNA synthetases). tRNAs cope with the degeneracy of the genetic code in two manners: having more than one tRNA (with a specific anti-codon) for a particular amino acid; and 'wobble' base-pairing, i.e. permitting non-standard base-pairing at the 3rd anti-codon position. The record is from RNAcentral. Lineage: Bacteria; Pseudomonadati; Pseudomonadota; Betaproteobacteria.